UGUCCUUGAGAAUUUACCCUUCCUGAGUC
Molecule: non-coding RNA, 29 nt
Filed under: Rattus norvegicus (Norway rat)
Lineage: Eukaryota; Metazoa; Chordata; Mammalia; Rodentia; Muridae
Source: RNAcentral